CGAACGCUGGCGGCGUGCUUAACACAUGCAAGUCGAACGGAAAGGCCCCUUUGGGGGUACUCGAGUGGCGAACGGGUGAGUAACACGUGAGUAACCUGCCCUUGACUUCGGGAUAACUUCAGGAAACUGGGGCUAAUACCGGAUAGGAAUCCUUGCUGCAUGGUGGGGGUUGGAAAGCUUCGGCGGUUUUGGAUGGACUCGCGGCUUAUCAGCUUGUUGGUGGGGUAGUGGCUUACCAAGGCUUUGACGGGUAGCCGGCCUGAGAGGGCGACCGGCCACAUUGGGACUGAGAUACGGCCCAGACUCCUACGGGAGGCAGCAGUGGGGAAUAUUGCACAAUGGGCGGAAGCCUGAUGCAGCAACGCCGCGUGCGGGAGGACGGCCUUCGGGUUGUAAACCGCGUUCAGCAGGGGCGAAGCUUGUGGUGACGGUACCUGCAGAAGAAGCACCGGCUAACUACGUG
This 463-nucleotide ribosomal RNA is filed under the name uncultured bacterium. RNAcentral describes it as "partial 16S ribosomal RNA". It matches the Rfam family "Bacterial small subunit ribosomal RNA", at positions 30 to 507 of the family's 1533-position model. The record is from RNAcentral.